This 460-nucleotide ribosomal RNA is filed under the name uncultured bacterium. Its description in RNAcentral is "partial 16S ribosomal RNA". It matches the Rfam family "Bacterial small subunit ribosomal RNA", at positions 338 to 795 of the family's 1533-position model. The record is from RNAcentral.
CCUACGGGUAGCAGCAGUGAGGAAUAUUUGUCAAUGGGCGCGAGCCUGAACCCGCCCAGUAGCGUGAAGGAUGACUGCCCUACGGGUUGUCAACUUCUUUUAUCAAGGAAUAAAGUGAGGCACGUGUGCCUUUUUGUAUGUACUUUAUGAAUAAGGAUCGGCUAACUCCGUGCCAGCAGCCGCGGUAAUACGGAGAAUCCGAGCGUUAUCCGGAUUUAUUGGGUUUAAAGGGAGCGUAGAUGGGUUGUUAAGUCAGUUGUGAAAGUUUGCGGCUCAACCGUAAAAUUGCAAUUGACACUGGCAGUCUUGAGUACAGUUGAGGUAGGCGGAAUUCGUGGUGUAGUGGUGAAAUGCUUAGAUAUCACGAAGAACUCCGAUUGCGAAGGCAGCUUACUAAACUGCCACUGACAUUGAUGCUCGAAAGUGUGGGUAUCAAACAGGAUUAGAUACCCGUGUAGUC